Molecule: ribosomal RNA, 305 nt
Filed under: uncultured bacterium
Lineage: Bacteria
Description: bacterial SSU rRNA
Rfam family: Bacterial small subunit ribosomal RNA
Source: RNAcentral
AUUACCCUACGGGAGGCAGCAGUGGGGAAUAUUGGGCAAUGGGCGCAAGCCUGACCCAGCAAUGCCGCGUGAAGGAAGAAGGCCCUCGGGUUGUAAACUUCUUUUAUCAGGGACGAAGGAUGUGACGGUACCUGCAAAGGAAGCACCGGCUAACUCCGUGCCAGCAGCCGCGGUAAUACGGAGGGUGCGAGCGUUAAUCGGAAUUACUGGGCGUAAAGCGCUCGUAGGCGGUAUGUCAAGUCAAGGGUGAAAUCCCCGCGCUCAACGUGGGAACUGCCUUUGAAACUGGCAAACUGGAGUGUGUG